This 200-nucleotide ribosomal RNA is filed under the name uncultured bacterium. RNAcentral's name for it is "partial 16S ribosomal RNA". It matches the Rfam family "Bacterial small subunit ribosomal RNA", at positions 29 to 225 of the family's 1533-position model. The record is from RNAcentral.
AGUGAACGCUGGCGGUAGGCCUAACACAUGCAAGUCGAACGGCAGCACAGCAGUAGCAAUACUGUGGGUGGCGAGUGGCGGACGGGUGAGGAAUACAUCGGAAUCUACCUUUUCGUGGGGGAUAACGUAGGGAAACUUACGCUAAUACCGCAUAAGACCUUCGGGUGAAAGUGGGGACCUUCGGGCCUCACGCGGAUAGA